AUUGGAACAUAGAAUAUUUAAAAAAUGGUCGGAGGUUUCGCCUAACGGGGCGCCCGGAGGGCGCCCCACUUCGGUAGGGUAACGCCGGACGGUUUCUACGAGAAACGCAGAUUCCGAAACUGUAUAAAACGUCCCGAUCGAAGCCCGGGAAGUCUUCGAAAAUAAUUUCCGAAAAUGUUCGAUUUCGACGAUUUUUGCCGUCGACGGCGAAUAUGGCAAAACUUUCUGAAGUUGGCAGAGCGAACGGAAACUUUUCGGGGUCCGGGAACGGGCUAUGUCGUAUCCCGAAGGACCGAGUCAUUGAGAGUUAACACAUUUUCCCACUUUUACGGCCCCCAAAUAACCGAAAAUUGCGUAAGAAAAAAGGGUAAUUUUGACGUUUCUCAAUUUCGCAUUUUUUCGUUUUCGUAGAAGGAAAACCACAGAGACGUCAUUGUUGAUAGUUGUCACGUAUGAAUAAUUCUCGCAAUUUUCAUUCGAAACAUUCGAGAAAUGGAUGAAAAUGGGUGAAAAUCGUUCAAAUCACGUAUCUAAAGUCCCAAAUAUUACGAUUCGGGAUUCCGAGACGAUAAUUUCUAUCUAAAUAUGCACGGGUAUGACAAGCAUCGAACUCUCAUACAAAUUCUGCCGUUGAGGGAAGAGUGGAAAAUUGUUUGGAUUACGGAAAUCGUACAAAGGCAUAUAGGAGACCGGGGACGGUCUAUGUUUUAUCAGCAAGGACCAAAUCAUAAGUUUCAACCAAUUUGAGCUCCUAAAACGAUCCAGAAAUACCCCAAAAAUGCAUAGGAAAGAGGUGGAAAGGUGCAAAACUCUUUGUAAUAACAAGGUCCCACGAAGUCAUUUAUCGUACCGGAGAAGGGCUAUGUUUUGUCAGGAAGGACUGAAUUUUACUUAUUAAUCAUUUUGAGCGCCCCAAACCACCCUGAAAUACCCCAAAAAUGCAUAAGAAAAAGGUAAAAUUUUUGACAUUUCUCGAAUUCAUUUUUCAUUCGAAGGAAUAACACCAAACUGAAGAAAUUUGAUCGUUUUCAAGAAAACUCGAGCACUAAGGGGAGGAUUUGAGUUCUUUCGAACAUCAAUUGUAUCAGUAGAAGGACAAACUGUCGUAAAAAUAUGAGAUGGUAUCGUUGUAUGUGUACCGGGGACGGGGCUAUGUUUUGUCUGGAAGGACUGAAUUUUACUUAUUAAUCAUUUUGAGCUCCUAAAAUGACCCAGAAAUACCAGAAAAAUGCAUAAGAAAAAGGUAGAAUUUUUGACAUUUCUCAAUUUUUUUUUCAUUCGAAGGAACAACACAAAACGGAAGAAAUUUGAUCGUUUUCAAGGAAAGUCGAGCUUUUAGGGUAGGAUUUGAGUCCUUUCAAACAUCAAUUGUAUCAUUAGAAGGACAAGCCGUCGUAAAAAUAUGAGAUGGUAUCGUUGGAUGUGGUGGCUUCCAGAACACCCAGCAAACUCGGAAAAAGCAAAAGUUGAUACCUUUAAGAAAUUGCCUUUCCAGUAUUGUACAGAAGGCCAAGAUCGAAGGCCUGAAAGUCUCCCAAAAUAAUUUCUGAAAUACGUCGUUCUCGACGAAAGGUGCAAAACUCUUUGGAAUAAGAAAGUCGCACGAAGUCAUUUAUCGUACCGGAGACGGGCUAUGUUUUGUCAGGAAGGACUGAAUUUCACUUAUUAAUCAUUUUGAGCUCCCAAAACGACCCAGAAAUACCAGAAAAAUGCAUAAGAAAAAGGUAGAAUUUUUGACAUUUCUUAAAUUCAUAUUGCGGUUAGAUUUUUUGUGCUCAUUGUAGAGAAAGGAAUUCGUCGGUUUCUAUUGAAGGAAACUGAAUUGAAUCUUAUAAUGCAUGAAUCAAUAAUCAUUUUGCUUCAUUUUAACUGCAUACAAUAGAUUUUUAGCAAUUUUCAAGCAGUUGGGCAGUGUUCGGUGAUGAUUUAUUCCACUCAUUCGAAGUCAAAGGAAAAUAUGUUUUCGAUUAAUUUAUUCAAUGGAAAUGAUAAAAUGAUUAUUGGAAUACAUUAUCCGGAUUUUUUUUUCAUCGUAGAGGAAGGUGCAAAACUCUUUGGAAUAAGAAGGUCGCACGAAGUCAUUUAUCGUACCGGAGAGGGGCUAUGUUUUGUCAGGAAGGACUGAAUUUUACUUAUUAAUCAUUUUGAGCUCCUAAAACGACCCAGAAAUACCCCAAAAUGCAUAAGAAAAAGGUAGAAUUUUUGACAUUUCUCGAAUUCAUUUUUCAUUCAAAGGAAUAACACCGAAGGGAAGAAAUUUGAUCGUUUUCAAGAAAACUCGAGCACUAAGAGGAGCAUUUAUAUCAUUUCAAACAUGUAUUGAUUCAUUAAAAGUACAAACUGUCGUAAAAGUAUGAGAUGGUAUCGAGGCAUGUAUGGGCUUUUAGGGCGACCGUUGGAUUAAAGCAAAUAGAGCGUUCGUCCCUUUAAGAAAUGCCCUUUACAUAAUUGUAUAGAAGGCCAAGAUCGAAGGCCUGAAAGUCUCCCAAAAUAAUUUCUGAAAUACGUCGUUCUCGACGAAAGGUGCAAAACUUUUUGGAAUAAGAAGGUCGCACGAAGUCAUUUAUCGUACCGGAGACGGGCUAUGUUUUGUCAGGAAGGACUGAAUUUUACUUAUUAAUCAUUUUGAGCUGCUAAAAUGACCCAGAAAUACCAGAAAAAUGCAUAAGAGAAAGGUAGAAUUUUUGACAUUUCUCAAUUUUUUUUUUUUCAUUCGAAGGAACAACACAAAACGGAAGAAAUUUGAUCGUUUUCAAGGAAAGUCGAGCUUUUAGGGGAGGAUUCAAGUCCUUUCAAACAUCAAUUGUAUCAUUAGAAGGACAAGCCGUCGUAAAAAUAUGAGAUGGUAUCGUUGGAUGUGGUGGCUUCCAGAACACCCAGCAAACUCGGAAAAAGCAAAAGUUGAUACCUUUAAGAAAUUGCCCCAAAAUAUUUUCUGAUAAAGGUCGUUUUCGACGGAAGGUGCAAAACUCUUUGGAAUAGGAAGGUCGCACGAAGUCAUUUAUCGUACCGGAGACGGGCUAUGUUUUGUCAGAAAGGACUGAAUUUUACUUAUUAAUCAUUUUGAGCUCCCAAAACGACCCAGAAAUACCCGAAAAAUGCAUAAGAAAAAGGUUGAAUUUCGACAUUUCUCAAUUUCAUGUUGAGAUUUUUAGCAAUUUUCAAGCAGUUGGGCAGUGUUCGGUGAUGAUUUAUUCCACUCAUUCGAGGUCAAAGGAAAAAUAUGUUUUCGAUUAAUUUAUUCAAUGGAAAUGAUAAAAUGAUUAUUGGAAUACAUUAUCCGGGUGAGUUUUUGCAUUAAAAUUUUACAUUUAAAAACUUUUAGCAAGUUAUUCCAAUUUUAAGGCUAGAUUUUUUUUUUCAUUGUAGAGGAAGGAAUGUUGUGAGUUCCUUUUCAAAAUGAACUGAAUGAAAUCUUGAAAAGCAGGGAAUCCCUUUUAUAAUGUUUCUUCUCAACUGCAUAUAACUGAUUUUUGCUAAUAUCAUCAACUAUAUUUGGUUUUUUUGUUUCAUUUCUAAUUCCAGUAUGCAGUUCAUUCAUCAUCGAUGUAAAUUUCCUGAAAUUAUUCAUGGAUUAUACUGAGUGAAUCAGAAUAUAUGAUUUGAUUAUUAUUAUUUCGAAUAAAUCUCUACAUAAUUCUCUGUACUUCAAAUAUUCUUAUAGCCACAUACCCAUUAGAAAAUACACCUCUUUGAAAUAAGGAAGUUGCAUGAAGUAAUUUAUUGGUUCAGAGACAGCCUAUGUUUUGUCAGGAAGGUCUGAAUUUUACUUAUUAAUCAUUUUGAGCUCCUAAAAUGACCCAGAAAUACCAGAAAAAUGCAUAAGACAAAGGUAGAAUUUUUGACAUUUCUUAAAUUCAUAUUGCGUUCAGAUUUUUUGUGCUCAUUGUAGAGAAAGGAAUUUGUCAGUUUCUAUUCAAAGAAACUGAACUGAAUCUUAUAAUACAUGAAUUAUCAGUUACUUUACUUCAUUUCAACUCCAGACAAUAGAUUUUCACCAAUUUUUCAAGCAAUUGGACUGUGGUCGGUGAUGAUAUUUUCCACUCAUUCGAAGUCCAAGGAAAAAUAUAUGUUCGAUCAAUUUAUUCAAUGGAAAUAAUAUAAUGAUUAUUGGAAUACAUUAUCCGGAAGGAAAACCACAGAGACUUUACCACUGAGAGUUGUCAUGUAUAAUUAGAGCAAUUUUCAUUCAAAACCUUAGAGAAAUUAAUAAAAAUAAGUGAAAAUCCUUCGAAACACGUAUUUAUAGCCCCAAGUAUGAUGAAUCGGGCUUUCCUUCAAGACGAUAAUUCCUAUUCAAAUAUGUAUGGGUAUAAUUGCCUUUCCGUUAUGGAACAUCAAGAUCCUGGAAUUCUCCUAAAAUAAUUUCUGAAAAAGGUCAAUUCUACCGUUUACCGAGAAAGAUGCAAGUGCUUACUUAUUCAAGGUGGAAAAAGAAAAGGUUGAUUCUAUUUGCUGUUCCUAAAUUACAAUUUGUCAGCAAAUGUUAUCCUUUUUAUCAAGGUGACUAGCAUUUCGAACUACUGGAGAAAGGAAUUUACUUCUUUUUUCACUUCAGAUGCAAUAUUCUUCAAAAAAUUAAUUGUAACUAAAUUGGCUGGUGGGAAAACUAAUAGAAUGUUAUUUUCUGCAGGAAGAACCAGGUAUGGUUGGAUGUGGUGGCUUCCAGAAGUGUCCCAAAAUAUUUUCUGAUAAAGGUCGUUUUCGACGAAAUAUGCAAAACUCUUUGGAAUAAGGAGGACGCACGAAAUCAUUUAUCGUACCGGAGACGAGCUAUGUUUUGUCAAGAAGGACUGAAUUUUACUUAUAUAUCAUUUUGAGCCCCCAAAACGACCCAAAAGUAUCCGAAAAAUACAUAAGAAAAAGGUAGAAUUUUGACAUUUCUCGAGUUCAUGUUGAGGUUAGUUUUUUAUGCUCAUUGUAGAGAAAGGAAUUUGUCGGUUUCUAUUGAAGGAAACUGAAUUGCAUCUUAUAAUGCAUGAAUCAAUAAUCAUUUUGCUUCAUUCCAACUGCAUACGAUAGAUUUUUAGCAAUUUUCAAGCAAUUGGGUAGUGUCUGGUGAUGUUUUCUUUUUACUCAUUCGAGGUCCAAGGAAAAAUAUGUUUUCGAUUAAUUUAUUCAAUGGAAAUAAUAUAAUGAUUAUUGGAAUACAUUAUCCGGGUGAGUUUUUGCAUUAGAAUUCUCUAUUUAUAGACUUUUGGCAAGUUAAUCCCAUUUUUGUUUUCAUCGUAGAGAAGGAAGAAGUUUCUUUUCAAAAUAAAAUUAACUGAAUGAAAUCUUGAAAAGCAGGGAAUCUCUUUUAAAAUGCUCCCUUCUAACCGCAUAAAACUGAUUUUGCUAAUAUCAUCAACUGUUUUGGGUUUUUUGUUUCAUUCCCAAUUCCAGUAUGCAGUUUUUUCAUCAUCUAUAUAAUUUUUCUGAAACAAUUCAUGGAUUAUACUGAGUAAAUUUGAAUAUAUGAUUUGAUUAUUAUAUAUUUCGAAUAAAUCUUUACCUAAUUCCCUGUAUUUUAAGUAUUAUUCUUAUAGACACAUCCCCAGUAGAAAAUAUACAUUUGCUAAAGAUAACAAAAGUAAGAGUCGGAAAAUGUGAGAUUUAGAAGAUUAGGUGACAGUAUCACAUAAGGUUUUUGAUUCAUUGAGAAAAGGAAAAGCAUUUCUCAUUCAGUUUCAUUUAUAUAACAACAGAAUGAUAGGUUAGGUUAGAAAAUUUUGACCACAGAGUAAUACUAUAAGUUUUGAUUAUGUUUCAUAGAAAAACAACAACAUAGAACAAUAUUUUGGCCUCGGUAUUUUUAAAAAUUAUAUUUUUAUUUAAAUUUUUUUGAGCGAAUCUGUUUAAAUAGGUAUAUCUACCUAAGGGUAAAACUAUGGGCUUACUAGCCCAUAUCCCAUUUUCAUAUUUCUUCGUUUUCGUAGAAGGAAAACCACAGAGACUUUACCACUGAGAGUUGUCAUGUAUAAUUAGAGCAAUUUUCAUUCAAAACCUUAGAGAAAUUAAUAAAAAUAAGUGAAAAUCCUUCGAAACACGUAUUUAUAGCCCCAAGUAUGAUGAAUCGGGCUUUCCUUCAAGACGAUAAUUCCUAUUCAAAUAUGUAUGGGUAUAAUUGCCUUUCCGUUAUGGAACAUCAAGAUCCUGGAAUUCUCCUAAAAUAAUUUCUGAAAAAGGUCAAUUCUACCGUUUACCGAGAAAGAUGCAAGUGCUUACUUAUUCAAGGUGGAAAAAGAAAAGGUUGAUUCUAUUUGCUGUUCCUAAAUUACAAUUUGUCAGCAAAUGUUAUCCUUUUUAUCAAGGUGACUAGCAUUUCGAACUACUGGAGAAAGGAAUUUACUUCUUUUUUCACUUCAGAUGCAAUAUUCUUCAAAAAAUUAAUUGUAACUAAAUUGGCUGGUGGGAAAUCUAAUAGAAUGUUAUUUUCUGCAGGAAGAACCAGGUAUGGUUGGAUGUGGUGGCUUCCAGAAGUGUCCCAAAAUAUUUUCUGAUAAAGGUCGUUUUCGACGAAAUAUGCAAAACUCUUUGGAAUAAGGAGGACGCACGAAAUCAUUUAUCGUACCGGAGACGGGCUAUGUUUUGUCAGGAAGGACUAAAUUUUACUAAUUUAUCAUUUUGAGCCCCCAAAACGACCCAGAAGUAUCCGAAAAAUGCAUGAGAAAAAGCAAUUCCCAAGCAGUUGGGCAGCGUCCAAUGAUGUUUUCUUUUUACUCAUUCGAGGUCCAAGGAAAAAUAUGUUUUCGAUUAAUUUAUUCAAUGGACAUAAUAUUAUGAUUAUUGGAAAACAUUAUCCGGGUGAGUUUUUGCAUUAGAAUUAUUUAUUUAUAGAUUUUUGGCAAGUUAUUCUCAUUUUUGUUUUCAUCGUAGCGGAAGGAAUUUUGUGAGUUCCUUUUCAAAAUGAACUGAAUGAAAUCUUGAAAAGCAUGGAAUCUCUUUUAUAAGGUUUUUUCCAACUGCAUAUUUCUGAUUUAUGCUGAUAUUCAAGCUCAAUAUGAAGAUAAUUGUAUUGACAAGAAUUCUUUCAGAAAAACUGUGACAAUGUCUGUUGAAAUUGUUACACAGAAAUACGGAAUUCCUACUGCCUUUGAAAAUUCAUAGUUUGUUUUAAUUGAGGAAUUAUUCUUAUCCAUCCUUUGCAUAAUUGUUAUAUUGAAAGUUGAAAUAUUCAAUAAAUAGAAUGAAACAAAUGAUAAUGA
Long non-coding RNA from Coccinella septempunctata (seven-spotted ladybird), 7187 nucleotides. RefSeq lists it as uncharacterized. Lineage: Eukaryota; Metazoa; Arthropoda; Insecta; Coleoptera; Coccinellidae. The record is from RefSeq and is a predicted model, not a curated record. The transcript has 11 exons.